AUUGAACGCUGGCGGCAUGCCUUACACAUGCAAGUCGAACGGCAGCACGGGAGCAAUCCUGGUGGCGAGUGGCGAACGGGUGAGUAAUAUAUCGGAACGUGCCCAGUCGUGGGGGAUAACGUAGCGAAAGCUACGCUAAUACCGCAUACGAUCUAUGGAUGAAANCGGGGGAUCGCAAGACCUCGCGCGAUUGGAGCGGCCGAUAUCAGAUUAGGUAGUUGGUGAGGUAAAGGCUCACCAAGCCGACGAUCUGUAGCUGGUCUGAGAGGACGACCAGCCACACUGGGACUGAGACACGGCCCAGACUCCUACGGGAGGCAGCAGUGGGGAAUUUUGGACAAUGGGCGCAAGCCUGAUCCAGCAAUGCCGCGUGCAGGAUGAAGGCCUUCGGGUUGUAAACUGCUUUUGUACGGAACGAAACGGUGAGCNCUAAUACAGUUUGCUAAUGACGGUACCGUAAGAAUAAGCACCGGCUAACUACGUG
Molecule: ribosomal RNA, 484 nt
Filed under: uncultured bacterium
Lineage: Bacteria
Description: bacterial SSU rRNA
Rfam family: Bacterial small subunit ribosomal RNA
Source: RNAcentral